Molecule: ribosomal RNA, 243 nt
Filed under: uncultured bacterium
Lineage: Bacteria
Description: partial 16S ribosomal RNA
Rfam family: Bacterial small subunit ribosomal RNA
Source: RNAcentral
UACGAAGGGGGCUAGCGUUGCUCGGAAUCACUGGGCGUAAAGCGCACGUAGGCGGAUCGUUAAGUCAGGGGUGAAAUCCUGGAGCUCAACUCCAGAACUGCCUUUGAUACUGAGGAUCUUGAGUUCGGGAGAGGUGAGUGGAACUGCGAGUGUAGAGGUGAAAUUCGUAGAUAUUCGCAAGAACACCAGUGGCGAAGGCGGCUCACUGGCCCGAUACUGACGCUUGAGGCACGAAAGCGUGGG